Arabidopsis lyrata subsp. lyrata is the source of this 535-nucleotide long non-coding RNA. RefSeq lists it as uncharacterized. The record is from RefSeq and is a predicted model, not a curated record. The transcript has 2 exons. NCBI's taxonomy places the organism in Eukaryota, Viridiplantae, Streptophyta, Magnoliopsida, Brassicales, Brassicaceae.
AAUCAUCUUGCGUAUGACCAGACCUAAGCCUCUCAUUCUGGUACAAGCUUUCUCUCUUCUGUUCUUUAUUUUCUUUCUGAAAAAUCAAUUGCUUCUUAUUUCUGCUUGUUUCUAAUUUGAAGAAACUUCUAUUGGAUGAAUUUUCAGGAAAAACAGCAGAAUUGGAAGGUCUUGGGGUUAUAAGAAUAAAUAUCUUAUUUAAGACGAGACCUAAGCCUCUUAUUUCUAUCGGAUAUGGACCCCUAUGAUCCCAACUAUGCAAAUAAGUACACCAGCGACAAGGACAAGAAUUAUGGCAUAAGAAUCUUCUGGAAACUUGAUACAUCGCCUUUAGCAGAUAUAACUCAAGCUUCUUCCAUAUUUGAAAGAAUUAGCAGCUUUCUUGGCGUGCAAACCAAGUAUUUCAGUGGUAACUGCAUAAAUGAUCUGUAUUAGCAGCUUUUUUGGCGUGCAAACCAAGUUUCAAAAAACAAUUUGAAAAUUGUAUAGAAAAACAUAAAGUUUAUAUACAAGUCUCAAGCUUCUACAUUUUAAA